ACCCGCACAAGCGGUGGAUGAUGUGGUUUAAUUCGAUGCAACGCGAAAACCUUACCCACCUUGACAUGGCAGGAAUCCCGAAGAGAGUUUGGGAGUGCUCGAAAGAGAACCUGCACACAGGUGCUGCAUGGCUGUCGUCAGCUCGUGUCGUGAGAUGUUGGGUUAAGUCCCGCAACGAGCGCAACCCUUGCCAUUAGUUGCUACGAAAGGGCACUCUAAUGGGACUGCCGGUGACAAACCGGAGGAAGGUGGGGAUGACGUCAAGUCCUCAUGGCCCUUAUAGGUGGGGCUACACACGUCAUACAAUGGCCGGUACAGAGGGUAGCCAACCCGCGAGGGGGAGCCAAUCCCACAAAGCCGGUCGUAGUCCGGAUCGCAGUCUGCAACUCGACUGCGUGAAGUCGGAAUCGCUAGUAAUCGCGGAUCAGCAUGUCGCGGUGAAUACGUUCCCGGGUCUU
Molecule: ribosomal RNA, 458 nt
Filed under: uncultured Allobrachymonas sp.
Lineage: Bacteria; Pseudomonadati; Pseudomonadota; Betaproteobacteria; Burkholderiales; Comamonadaceae
Description: bacterial SSU rRNA
Rfam family: Bacterial small subunit ribosomal RNA
Source: RNAcentral